AGGCAUGCUAUCCUAAGGACCUGGGCUUGUUUGUAGUCCAAGGUUCUCCAUGUGCAUGCAAGAAAAUUGGGUGGUCUUUGACUGUUGUGGCCCUUUUUUGCCAUCAGCAGCCACUCAGCUGUCCUACAGAU
This is a small nucleolar RNA of Seriola dumerili (greater amberjack), 131 nucleotides long. Lineage: Eukaryota; Metazoa; Chordata; Actinopteri; Carangiformes; Carangidae. The record is from Ensembl.